CCUACGGGAGGCAGCAGUGGGGAAUAUUGCACAAUUGGGGAAACCCUGAUGCAGCGACGCCGCGUGAAGGAAGAAGUAUUUCGGUAUGUAAACUUCUAUCAGCAGGGAAGAAAAUGACGGUACCUGACUAAGAAGCCCCGGCUAACUAAGUGCCAGCAGCCGCGGUAAUACGUAGGGGGCAAGAGUUAUCCGGACUUACUGGGUGGAAAGGGCGCGGAGGUUGGUUAGCAAGUCAGAAGUGAACGCCCGGGGCCCAACCCCGGGACUGCUUUUGAAACUGUUGAACUAGAUUGCAGGAGAGGUAAGUGGAAGUCCUAGUGUAGCGGUGAAAUGCGUAGAUAUUAGGAGGAACACCGGUAGCGAAGGCGGCUUGCUGGGCGGUAACUGACGUUGAGGCUCGAAAGCGUGGGGAGCAAACAGGAUUAGAUACCCUGGUAGUC
RNAcentral lists this ribosomal RNA (440 nucleotides) under uncultured bacterium. RNAcentral's name for it is "partial 16S ribosomal RNA". It matches the Rfam family "Bacterial small subunit ribosomal RNA", at positions 338 to 795 of the family's 1533-position model. The record is from RNAcentral.